RNAcentral lists this non-coding RNA (20 nucleotides) under Rattus norvegicus (Norway rat). The record is from RNAcentral. Lineage: Eukaryota; Metazoa; Chordata; Mammalia; Rodentia; Muridae.
UGAUAGAAAUUAUUGUGGGA